Molecule: ribosomal RNA, 254 nt
Filed under: uncultured bacterium
Lineage: Bacteria
Description: partial 16S ribosomal RNA
Rfam family: Bacterial small subunit ribosomal RNA
Source: RNAcentral
UACAGAGGUCCUCAAGCGUUGUUCGGAUUCAUUGGGCGUAAAGGGUGCGUAGGUGGCGCUGUAAGUCGGGUGUGAAAUUUCGGAGCUUAACUCCGAAACUGCAUUCGAUACUGCGGUGCUUGAGGACUGGAGAGGAGACUGGAAUUCAUGGUGUAGCAGUGAAAUGCGUAGAGAUCAUGAGGAAGACCAGUGGCGAAGGCGGGUCUCUGGACAGUUCCUGACACUGAGGCACGAAGGCCAGGGGAGCAAACGGG